UACGUAGGGGGCUAGCGUUGUCCGGAAUCAUUGGGCGUAAAGCGCGUGUAGGCGGUCCGGUAAGUCCGCUGUGAAAGUCGAGGGCUCAACCCUCGAAUGCCGGUGGAUACUGUCGGGCUUGAGUACGGGAGAGGCGAGUGGAAUUCCUGGUGUAGCGGUGAAAUGCGCAGAUAUCAGGAGGAACACCGAUGGCGAAGGCAGGUCUCUGGGCCACUACUGACGCUGAGAAGCGAAAGCAUGGGGGAGCGAACAGG
This 254-nucleotide ribosomal RNA is filed under the name uncultured bacterium. RNAcentral's name for it is "partial 16S ribosomal RNA". It matches the Rfam family "Bacterial small subunit ribosomal RNA", at positions 524 to 776 of the family's 1533-position model. The record is from RNAcentral.